RNAcentral lists this ribosomal RNA (644 nucleotides) under fungal sp. RNAcentral's name for it is "eukaryotic LSU rRNA". The stretch from base 146 to 299 matches the Rfam family "5.8S ribosomal RNA". The record is from RNAcentral. Lineage: Eukaryota; Fungi.
CAUUACUGAGUUUUUAACUCUCCAAACCAUGUGAACUUACCACUGUUGCCUCGGUGGUCGGUGCUGGAAACAGUGCUGCCACCGGUGGACUACUAAACUCUUGUUAAUUUUUGUCAAAUCUGAAUCAAACUAAGAAAUAAGUUAAAACUUUCAACAACGGAUCUCUUGGUUCUGGCAUCGAUGAAGAACGCAGCGAAAUGCGAUAAGUAAUGUGAAUUGCAGAAUUCAGUGAAUCAUCGAAUCUUUGAACGCACAUUGCGCCCAUUAGUAUUCUAGUGGGCAUGCCUGUUCGAGCGUCAUUUCAACCCUUAAGCCUAGCUUAGUGUUGGGAGACUGCCUAAUACGCAGCUCCUCAAAACCAGUGGCGGAGUCUGUUCGUGCUCUGAGCGUAGUAAUUUUUUAUCUCGCUUCUGCAAGCCGGCCAGACGACAGCCAUAAACCGCACCCUCUCGGGGGGCACUUUUUUAAUGGUUGACCUCGGAUCAGGUAGGAAUACCCGCUGAACUUAAGCAUAUCAAUAAGCGGAGGAAAAGAAACCAACAGGGAUUGCCCUAGUAACGGCGAGUGAAGCGGCAACAGCUCAAAUUUGAAAUCUGGCCUUCUGGUCCGAAUUGUAAUUUGUAGAGGAUGCUUUUGGUUAGGUA